UGAAUUGCAGAAUCCCGUGAACAAUCGAGUCUUUGAACGCAAGUUGCGCCCGGAGCCUUCAGGCCGAGGGCACACCUGCCUGGGCAUCACGC
This 92-nucleotide ribosomal RNA is filed under the name Aponogeton tenuispicatus. Its description in RNAcentral is "partial 5.8S ribosomal RNA". It matches the Rfam family "5.8S ribosomal RNA", at positions 68 to 154 of the family's 154-position model. Rfam says of the family: 5.8S ribosomal RNA (5.8S rRNA) is a component of the large subunit of the eukaryotic ribosome. The record is from RNAcentral. Lineage: Eukaryota; Viridiplantae; Streptophyta; Magnoliopsida; Alismatales; Aponogetonaceae.